This 492-nucleotide ribosomal RNA is filed under the name uncultured bacterium. RNAcentral's name for it is "partial 16S ribosomal RNA". It matches the Rfam family "Bacterial small subunit ribosomal RNA", at positions 29 to 507 of the family's 1533-position model. The record is from RNAcentral.
AGUGAACGCUGGCGGUAGGCCUAACACAUGCAAGUCGAACGGCAGCACAGUAAGAGCUUGCUCUUACGGGUGGCGAGUGGCGGACGGGUGAGGAAUACAUCGGAAUCUACUUUUUCGUGGGGGAUAACGUAGGGAAACUUACGCUAAUACCGCAUACGACCUACGGGUGAAAGCAGGGGAUCUUCGGACCUUGCGCGAUUGAAUGAGCCGAUGUCGGAUUAGCUAGUUGGCGGGGUAAAGGCCCACCAAGGCGACGAUCCGUAGCUGGUCUGAGAGGAUGAUCAGCCACACUGGAACUGAGACACGGUCCAGACUCCUACGGGGGGCAGCAGUGGGGAAUACUGGACAAAGGGCGCAAGCCUGAUCCAGCCAUACCGCGUGGGUGAAGAAGGCCUUCGGGUUGUAAAGCCCUUUUGUUGGGAAAGAAAAGCAGCAGGUUAAUACCCCGCUGUUCUGACGGUACCCAAAGAAUAAGCACCGGCUAACUUCGUG